This 787-nucleotide ribosomal RNA is filed under the name Paenibacillus polymyxa. Its description in RNAcentral is "bacterial SSU rRNA". It matches the Rfam family "Bacterial small subunit ribosomal RNA", at positions 1 to 768 of the family's 1533-position model. Lineage: Bacteria; Bacillati; Bacillota; Bacilli; Caryophanales; Paenibacillaceae. The record is from RNAcentral.
UUAAUGGAGAGUUUGAUCCUGGCUCAGGACGAACGCUGGCGGCGUGCCUAAUACAUGCAAGUCGAGCGGGGUUGUUUAGAAGCUUGCUUCUAACUAACCUAGCGGCGGACGGGUGAGUAACACGUAGGCAACCUGCCCACAAGACAGGGAUAACUACCGGAAACGGUAGCUAAUACCCGAUACAUCUUUUUCCUGCAUGGGAGAAGGAGGAAAGGCGGAGCGAUCUGUCACUUGUGGAUGGGCCUGCGGCGCAUUAGCUAGUUGGUGGGGUAAAGGCCUACCAAGGCGACGAUGCGUAGCCGACCUGAGAGGGUGAUCGGCCACACUGGGACUGAGACACGGCCCAGACUCCUACGGGAGGCAGCAGUAGGGAAUCUUCCGCAAUGGGCGAAAGCCUGACGGAGCAACGCCGCGUGAGUGAUGAAGGUUUUCGGAUCGUAAAGCUCUGUUGCCAGGGAAGAACGCUUGAGAGAGUAACUGCUCUUGAGGUGACGGUACCUGAGAAGAAAGCCCCGGCUAACUACGUGCCAGCAGCCGCGGUAAUACGUAGGGGGCAAGCGUUGUCCGGAAUUAUUGGGCGUAAAGCGCGCGCAGGCGGCUCUUUAAGUCUGGUGUUUAAUCCCGAGGCUCAACUUCGGGUCGCACUGGAAACUGGAGAGCUUGAGUGCAGAAGAGGAGAGUGGAAUUCCACGUGUAGCGGUGAAAUGCGUAGAGAAGUGGAGGAACACCAGUGGCGAAGGCGACUCUCUGGGCUGUAACUGACGCUGAGGCGCGAAAGCGUGGGGAG